GGAUGAACGCUGGCGGCGUGCCUAAUACAUGCAAGUCGAGCGAAUGGAUUGAGAGCUUGCUCUCAAGAAGUUAGCGGCGGACGGGUGAGUAACACGUGGGUAACCUGCCCAUAAGACUGGGAUAACUCCGGGAAACCGGGGCUAAUACCGGAUAAYAUUUUGAACUGCAUGGUUCGAAAUUGAAAGGCGGCUUCGGCUGUCACUUAUGGAUGGACCCGCGUCGCAUUAGCUAGUUGGUGAGGUAACGGCUCACCAAGGCAACGAUGCGUAGCCGACCUGAGAGGGUGAUCGGCCACACUGGGACUGAGACACGGCCCAGACUCCUACGGGAGGCAGCAGUAGGGAAUCUUCCGCAAUGGACGAAAGUCUGACGGAGCAACGCCGCGUGAGUGAUGAAGGCUUUCGGGUCGUAAAACUCUGUUGUUAGGGAAGAACAAGUGCUAGUUGAAUAAGCUGGCACCUUGACGGUACCUAACCAGAAAGC
RNAcentral lists this ribosomal RNA (484 nucleotides) under Bacillus thuringiensis. RNAcentral's name for it is "bacterial SSU rRNA". It matches the Rfam family "Bacterial small subunit ribosomal RNA", at positions 27 to 491 of the family's 1533-position model. The record is from RNAcentral. Lineage: Bacteria; Bacillati; Bacillota; Bacilli; Caryophanales; Bacillaceae.